RNAcentral lists this microRNA precursor (123 nucleotides) under Gossypium hirsutum (cotton). RNAcentral describes it as "MIR7504 microRNA precursor family". It matches the Rfam family "MIR7504 microRNA precursor family". The record is from Rfam by way of RNAcentral. Lineage: Eukaryota; Viridiplantae; Streptophyta; Magnoliopsida; Malvales; Malvaceae.
AAUAGUUUAAUGUCACAUCAAGUUUUUUUUCCUGAAUUUUAGUAUUUUCCUCUUAAAAGAAUCAAAAUCCAAUUGAAAAUGUUAAAAUUCAAGAGAAAAGAACUAAUGUGGCAUUAAACUAUU